RNAcentral lists this ribosomal RNA (253 nucleotides) under uncultured bacterium. Its description in RNAcentral is "partial 16S ribosomal RNA". It matches the Rfam family "Bacterial small subunit ribosomal RNA", at positions 524 to 776 of the family's 1533-position model. The record is from RNAcentral.
UACGAAGGGGGCUAGCGUUGUUCGGAAUUACUGGGCGUAAAGGGUUUGUAGGCGGUUGAACAAGUCAGUGGUGAAAGCCCAGAGCUUAACUCUGGAAUUGCCAUUGAAACUGUUCAGCUUGAGAGUGUUAGAGGAAAGUGGAGUUCCUAGUGUAGGAGUGAAAUCCGUAGAGAUUAGGAGGAAUAUCGAUGGCGAAGGCAGCUUUCUGGGACAUUUCUGACGCUGAGAAACGAAAGCGUGGGUAGCAAACAGG